This is a long non-coding RNA of Teleopsis dalmanni, 1202 nucleotides long. RefSeq lists it as uncharacterized. The record is from RefSeq and is a predicted model, not a curated record. NCBI's taxonomy places the organism in Eukaryota, Metazoa, Arthropoda, Insecta, Diptera, Diopsidae. The transcript has 7 exons.
CAUUCCUCCUCAGUGGCUUUAAUAAAUUCAAUGUAGAGAAUGUAAUAAACCAAAUAUCUUCCAAAUUCCAAGCAAAUUAGAUACGAAGCUGCUAAAACUUCUGUCUAAGAAAAAUAAACCAUAAUGGCGCGCCGGUUGUCGAUGGUCAGAAAACAUAUUAUUUAUAUGAAAAUGCGGGAACAGGAGCGUUUGCAGGAAGAGCAGGAGAGAGCAGAGGCCUUAGCUCAAGAAAACAAUAGCGGUGCACCAGCCAACGAACCCACACCUUCUGCAUCAGAACCUGUUAAGAAGUCAUCUGUUUGUGGAUUUCUGAAAAAUCUGUUUUUUGGAAAUAAAAACUAAAGCGUCCGAUUUCCAAAAAAAAUAUGAAGAAAUGAGAUGUAAUAAAUCAAAAUUGAAAAGGUUCUACAGAGAGAAGUGACAAAAUGGAAUGAUGUAACUUGAAAUCCCUACAUCGAUCACUUGCAUGCGAUGACUACCUAUUCGUAUCUUAUUCGGAACUAAUAGGGCAUAGUAAAAAGUGAAUAAUUAUGAACACAAACAUCUGUUCAGAGUGCAAAUCAGAUCCGCUUUUUUUCAAUGGAAAAAUAGAUACCAUAUAAAUGUGGUUUGUUAAGAAUAUUACAACUUACAUGGAGUUAACGGACACUAUCUAUGCUAUUUUAAUGUGAAAAGUGAUGAGAUAUGAAUUGGUAAAGAUCCAUCAAUCUUUGUGACGACACUCUGAUGAACUAGAAAUAGAACCGACACAGAUGUAUUACUUAAACUGCAAUGGUUUUAGCCCAAUAUGGCCAACGUAAAACCGGAAAACGCUUUGCAAAACUGUUUUGAAGUUUGCAAGAUAUGAGUGUAUAAUGGACCUACCUAGCGCACCUGCUGGAGCAUUUUUUUAUUGUUUUGAUGAUUUUAUAAUGAAAAAGGAAUGUCUUCAAAUGCCACACUCUGUACUGAAGAAAUACGCAAAGGAAGAAAGUUAGUGAGGCAAAAUAUUAUGGAAUAUGACAUUUGAAUAUAUGUCCGCCGAUUACGGAUUAGACAUUCUUUAGUAUUAUGGAUUUUAUUUGUAUUAUGGAAUAUGACAGCUGAAUACAUGUCCGCCGAUUAUGGAUUAGACAUUCUUUAGUGUUAUGGAUUUUAUUUUUUACAAACGUUUUUGGGUAACUUUCGGACUCUAAAUUUUAGUUUUAAUAAAUUUUGAUUUG